UCGGGAAUUUUGGGCAAUGGGGGAAACCCUGACCCAGCAACGCCGCGUGAAGGAUGAAGUAUUUCGGUAUGUAAACUUCGAAAGAAUAGGAAGAAUAAAUGACGGUACUAUUUAUAAGGUCCGGCUAACUACGUGCCAGCAGCCGCGGUAAUACGUAGGGACCAAGCGUUGUUCGGAUUUACUGGGCGUAAAGGGCGCGUAGGCGGCAUGACAAGUCACUUGUGAAAUCUCUGGGCUUAACCCAGAACGGCCAAGUGAUACUGUCGCGCUAGAGUGCAGAAGGGGCAAUCGGAAUUCUUGGUGUAGCAGUGAAAUGCGUAGAGAUCUGGAGGAACACCGAUGGCGAAGGCAGCCCCCUGGGCUAACACUGACGCUCAUGCACGAAAGCGUGGGGAGCAAACAGGAUUAGAUACCCCGGUAGUCCCUGAGCGGGCUGGCAAGGCGCAU
This 447-nucleotide ribosomal RNA is filed under the name uncultured bacterium. RNAcentral describes it as "bacterial SSU rRNA". It matches the Rfam family "Bacterial small subunit ribosomal RNA", at positions 355 to 825 of the family's 1533-position model. The record is from RNAcentral.